RNAcentral lists this non-coding RNA (148 nucleotides) under Chlorocebus sabaeus (green monkey). The record is from Rfam by way of RNAcentral. Lineage: Eukaryota; Metazoa; Chordata; Mammalia; Primates; Cercopithecidae.
GCUGGGCAUGGUGGCGCAUGCCUGUAUUCCCAGCUACUCGGGAGGCUGAGGCAGAAGAAUCGCUUGAACCCGGGAGGCAGAGGUUGCAGUGAGCCGAGAUCAUGCCACUGCAUUUCAGCCUUGGCAACAGAGCGAGACUCUGUCUCAA